CUUUCUUUAAUUGAAUAAUUGAAUUUAAUUUUUUAGUGCAAAAGCAAAAAUAAAAAUUAGGGACAAGAAGACCCUAUGAAUUUUUUAUUAAAUUUUAUAAAACUUUAUAUAAAGUUUAAUUUAAUUGGGGUGAUGGAAAAAGAAUAAAUAUCUUUUUUUUAAAGAAAAUUGGUUCCGUUUUUAGCGAUUAAAUGAAAAAAAUACUCUAGGGAUAACAGCGUAAUAAUUUUGGAUAGUUCAUAUAGAUAAAAUAGUUUGCGACCUCGAUGUUGGAUUAGGAUUCUUUUUUGGUGAAGAAGUUAAAAAAAGAAGUUUGUUCAACUU
This 324-nucleotide ribosomal RNA is filed under the name Ixodes ricinus (castor bean tick). Its description in RNAcentral is "partial large subunit ribosomal RNA". Lineage: Eukaryota; Metazoa; Arthropoda; Arachnida; Ixodida; Ixodidae. The record is from RNAcentral.